AACUAACGCUGGCGGCGUGCUUAACACAUGCAAGUCGAACGAGAACGGAUUAUAGCUUGCUAUAAUUGUCAGCUAAGUGGCGCACGGGUGAGUAAUGUAUAGAUAACCUGCCCUCUAGAAAGGAAUAACAGUUGGAAACGACUGCUAAUGCCCUAUAUGCCUUUAAUACAUAAGUAUGCAAGGGAAACGCUUUAGUGCUAGAGGAUGGGUCUGUAUGGUAUCAGUUAGUUGGUGAGGUAAUGGCUCACCAAGACUAUGACGCCUAACUGGUUUGAGAGGAUGAUCAGUCACACUGGAACUGAGACACGGUCCAGACUCCUACGGGAGGCAGCAGUGGGGAAUAUUGCACAAUGGACGAAAGUCUGAUGCAGCAACGCCGCGUGGAGGAUGACACAUUUCGGUGCGUAAACUCCUUUUAUAUAGGAAGAUAAUGACGGUACUAUAUGAAUAAGCACCGGCUAACUCCGUGCC
This 471-nucleotide ribosomal RNA is filed under the name uncultured bacterium. RNAcentral's name for it is "bacterial SSU rRNA". It matches the Rfam family "Bacterial small subunit ribosomal RNA", at positions 29 to 509 of the family's 1533-position model. The record is from RNAcentral.